RNAcentral lists this ribosomal RNA (479 nucleotides) under Blastocystis sp. RNAcentral describes it as "SSU rRNA". It matches the Rfam family "Eukaryotic small subunit ribosomal RNA", at positions 460 to 953 of the family's 1831-position model. Lineage: Eukaryota; Bigyra; Opalinata; Blastocystidae. The record is from RNAcentral.
GGAGGUAGUGACAAUAAAUCACAAUGCGGGACUGUUAGUCUUGCAAUUGGAUUGAGAACAACGUACAACUCUUAUCGAUAAGCCAUUGGAGGGCAAGUCUGGUGCCAGCAGCCGCGGUAAUUCCAGCUCCAAUAGCGUAUAUUAACGUUGUUGCAGUUAAAAAGCUCGUAGUUGAAGUGAGGGAGUGUGUGUUCAUGAGAGCUAGUCUCGAGUGUUCACAACCUCCCCCCUCCAAUCGGUGUAGUGGGGUAUUCAGUUAUUCUACUACUCCUUUGGUCGUUUACUGUGAGAAAAUUAGAGUGUUCAAAGCGGGCGUUUGUUUGAAUAGAUUAGCAUGGAAUAAUGAUUGAAGGCUUUCGUGUUCGAUUUGAUUGGUUUGUUCAUGGAAGCAAGGUUAAAAGGAACAGUUGGGGGUAUUCAUAUUCACUAGUUAGAGGUGAAAUUCUCGGAUUUAUGGAAGAUGAACAAGUGCGAAAGCA